UGAUACUCUUUCAGAUGUCCGCCCCACGC
Molecule: non-coding RNA, 29 nt
Filed under: Mus musculus (house mouse)
Lineage: Eukaryota; Metazoa; Chordata; Mammalia; Rodentia; Muridae
Source: RNAcentral